GAUGAACGCUGGCGGCAUGCUUAACACAUGCGAGUCGGACGGGAAGUGGUGUUUCCAGUGGCGGGCGGGUGAGUAACGCGUAAGAACCUGCCCUUGGUAGGGGAACAACAACUGGAAACGGUUGCUAAUACCCCGUAGGCUGAGGAGCAAAAGGAGGAAUCCGCCCGAGGAGGGGCUUGCGUCUGAUUAGCUGGUUGGUGAGGUAAUAGCUUACCAAGGCGAUGAUCAGUAGCUGGUCCGAGAGGAUGAUCAGCCACACUGGGACUGAGACACGGCCCAGACUCCUACGGGAGGGAGGAGUGGAGAAUUUUCCGCAAUGGGCGAAAGCCUGACGGAGCAACGCCGCGUGGAGGUAGAAGGCCCACGGGUCGUGAACUUCUUUUCUCGGAGAAGAAACAAUGACGGUAUCUGAGGAAUAAGCAUCGGCUAACUCUGUG
RNAcentral lists this ribosomal RNA (437 nucleotides) under uncultured bacterium. RNAcentral describes it as "partial 16S ribosomal RNA". It matches the Rfam family "Bacterial small subunit ribosomal RNA", at positions 28 to 507 of the family's 1533-position model. The record is from RNAcentral.